CCUACGGGUGGCAGCAGUGAGGAAUAUUGGUCAAUGGACGAGAGUCUGAACCAGCCAAGUAGCGUGAAGGAUGACUGCCCUAUGGGUUGUAAACUUCUUUUAUAUGGGAAUAAAAUGUUCCACGUGUGGGAUUUUGUAUGUACCAUAUGAAUAAGGAUCGGCUAACUCCGUGCCAGCAGCCGCGGUAAUACGGGGGAUGCGAGCGUUCUCCGGAUUUAUUGGGUUUAAAGGGUGCGUGGGCGGAAUGUCAAGUAAGCGGGAGAAAUUCGGGGCUCAACCCCGUCGUGCCGUUGAAACGGGUGUUCUUGAGGGGGCGGAAAGUAUGCGGAAUGCGUGGUGUAGCGGUGAAAUGCAUAGAUAUCACGCAGAACUCCGAUUGCGAAGGCAGCAUACCGGCGCCCAACUGACGCUGAAGCCCGAAAGCGUGGGUAUCGAACAGGAUUAGAUACCCGUGUAGUC
Molecule: ribosomal RNA, 459 nt
Filed under: uncultured bacterium
Lineage: Bacteria
Description: partial 16S ribosomal RNA
Rfam family: Bacterial small subunit ribosomal RNA
Source: RNAcentral